UAAGGAUAACAGAAUUAUUUGACGAUAUGAGAUUCUACAGAAAUUCGUUUGGUAUAGUAUUUUGUUUCACAUAACACUUACCUCUCACACUUCAUUCGGGUCUGAUAUCAAUUGCAACGACCCGACUCGACUAGCAACAAUAAUUAGUUGUGCCCAAACAAUCGGCCAUAAGGUAGUUAUUAUUACUAGUAUGUGAGGUCACGUAUAUUCUAAUGAGAAUUACUUUUUCCGUCCGAUGUGAUGCUAUUGGGACGUUACAUCAUAUCUCCUUCGCACAUCAUCAACAAAAUUUUUGAUAGGUUGUAAUAUGUAAAAUAAUAUGUAAUAAAUAUUCGACGUGAAAUAAGUUAGAAAAACCGUUUUCUUUAAAAGCUUAGAUUAUCAAAAUUGUAUUUGAAUAUUGUAUAUUUUGACAUAAUAUU
Molecule: long non-coding RNA, 422 nt
Filed under: Ananas comosus (pineapple)
Lineage: Eukaryota; Viridiplantae; Streptophyta; Magnoliopsida; Poales; Bromeliaceae
Description: long non-coding RNA (ACOM_LNC004381)
Source: RNAcentral